CCUACGGGAGGCAGCAGUAAGGAAUAUUGGUCAAUGGACGCAAGUCUGAACCAGCCAUGCCGCGUGGAGGAUGAAGGUCCUCUGGAUUGUAAACUUCUUUUAUUUGGGAAGAAACUCCCGAUUUCCAUCGGGAUUGACGGUACCAGAUGAAUAAGCACCGGCUAACUCCGUGCCAGCAGCCGCGGUAAUACGGAGGGUGCAAGCGUUAUUCGGAUUCACUGGGUCGUAAGGGUGCGGGUGUGGGCAGGUAUAACUCUCCGGGCUUAACCCGGUAACUGCCUUUGCUACUAUUUGUCUUGAAUACUCUGGAGGUGAGCGGAAUAUGUCAUGUAGCGGUGAAAUGCUUAGAUAUGACAUAGAACACCCAUUGCGAAGGCAGCUCACUACGGAAAUAUUGACGCUGAGGCACGAAAGCGUGGGGAUCAAACAGGAUUAGAUACCCCGGUAGUC
This 450-nucleotide ribosomal RNA is filed under the name uncultured bacterium. RNAcentral's name for it is "partial 16S ribosomal RNA". It matches the Rfam family "Bacterial small subunit ribosomal RNA", at positions 338 to 795 of the family's 1533-position model. The record is from RNAcentral.